AGAGUUUGAUCCUGGCUCAGGAUGAACGCUGGCGGCGUGCUUAACACAUGCAAGUCGAGCGGUAAGGCCCUUCGGGGUACACGAGCGGCGAACGGGUGAGUAACACGUGGGUGACCUGCCCUCAGCUCUGGGAUAAGCCUGGGAAACCGGGUCUAAUACCGGAUACGACCAACUGCCGCAUGGUGGUUGGUGGAAAGUAGGUGUUUUCGGACACUGUCGGCUGGGGAUGGGCCCGCGGCCUAUCAGCUUGUUGGUGGGGUGAUGGCCUACCAAGGCGGUGACGGGUAGCCGGCCUGAGAGGGCGACCGGCCACACUGGGACUGAGACACGGCCCAGACUCCUACGGGAGGCAGCAGUGGGGAAUAUUGCGCAAUGGGCGGAAGCCUGACGCAGCGACGCCGCGUGGGGGAUGACGGCCUUCGGGUUGUAAACCUCUUUCGCCGGGGACGAAGCUUUUGUGACGGUACCCGGAGAAGAAGCACCGGCCAACUACGUGCCAGCAGCCGCGGUAACACGUAGGGUGCGAGCGUUGUCCGGAAUUAUUGGGCGUAAAGAGCUCGUAGGCGGUGUGUCGCGUCGGCCGUGAAAACUUGGGGCUUAACUCUGAGCGUGCGGUCGAUACGGGCAUCACUUGAGUUCGGCAGGGGAGACUGGAAUUCCUGGUGUAGCGGUGAAAUGCGCAGAUAUCAGGAGGAACACCGGUGGCGAAGGCGGGUCUCUGGGCCGAUACUGACGCUGAGGAGCGAAAGCAUGGGGAGCGAACAGGAUUAGAUACCCUGGUAGUCC
This 786-nucleotide ribosomal RNA is filed under the name uncultured bacterium. Its description in RNAcentral is "bacterial SSU rRNA". It matches the Rfam family "Bacterial small subunit ribosomal RNA", at positions 8 to 796 of the family's 1533-position model. The record is from RNAcentral.